This is a long non-coding RNA of Haliotis rubra (blacklip abalone), 129 nucleotides long. RefSeq lists it as uncharacterized. The transcript has 3 exons. The record is from RefSeq and is a predicted model, not a curated record. Lineage: Eukaryota; Metazoa; Mollusca; Gastropoda; Lepetellida; Haliotidae.
UUGCUUAGUUUCUAUAUUCAAAUUUCGGGCUAGUGAAUUAUUCUGUGGGCUAGUAGCUUUCAGGCAAAGCUAGCUCGACUGGCUAGCAAAAUUUGGAAACUAUUUCGCACACUGAUUGAGAUGCAUAUU